UUACAUUGUUAUUUCCACACCAUAUUGGGCUUUCACAAUACAAGCGUUAUGGUCCUUACUUUUUAAAAGAAAGCAUUGCAUGCCAAAGUUUAGCAAAAUAGGAUAUUUAAUAUUUGCUUUCAUGGGAAUGUCUGAGCCUAUUGCAAUUGUUCUUCUUAUGGUUUUGGUAUUUCCUUACAUGGACACACUCAGUUCAUGUGUUUUAAUCAGCUCACUACACAUAUUUGCAAUUGCUUUCAAACCAGAAGAAAGAACUCAAGCACCACCCGAACCACCUCAGAAUUCAGCACUAGAUCUACAAGGCAUUAAUAAUUC
Molecule: long non-coding RNA, 315 nt
Organism: Physella acuta
Lineage: Eukaryota; Metazoa; Mollusca; Gastropoda; Physidae
Source: RefSeq, a predicted model, not a curated record